GACGAACGCUGGCGGCGUGCUUAACACAUGCAAGUCGAACGGUAAGGCCCUUCGGGGUACACGAGUGGCGAACGGGUGAGUAACACGUGGGUGAUCUGCCCUGCACUUCGGGAUAAGCCUGGGAAACUGGGUCUAAUACCGGAUAGGACCACUGCCUGCAUGGGUGGUGGUGGAAAGCUUUUGCGGUGUGGGAUGGGCCCGCGGCCUAUCAGCUUGUUGGUGGGGUGAUGGCCUACCAAGGCGACGACGGGUAGCCGGCCUGAGAGGGUAACCGGCCACACUGGGACUGAGAUACGGCCCAGAGUCCUACGGGAGGCAGCAGUGGGGAAUAUUGCACAGUGGGCGCAAGCCUGAUGCAGCGACGCCGCGUGAGGGAUGACGGCCUUCGGGUUGUAAACCUCUUUCAGCACCGACGAAGCGCAAGUGACGGUAGGUGCGGAAGAAGGACCGGCCAACUACGUGCCAGCCGCCGCAGUAA
This 478-nucleotide ribosomal RNA is filed under the name uncultured bacterium. RNAcentral's name for it is "partial 16S ribosomal RNA". It matches the Rfam family "Bacterial small subunit ribosomal RNA", at positions 28 to 523 of the family's 1533-position model. The record is from RNAcentral.